This 104-nucleotide microRNA precursor is filed under the name Nannospalax galili (Upper Galilee mountains blind mole rat). RNAcentral describes it as "miRNA (ENSNGAG00000002148.1)". The record is from RNAcentral. Lineage: Eukaryota; Metazoa; Chordata; Mammalia; Rodentia; Spalacidae.
UCCAUUCACUUGUCGAUGGGCAUCUAGGCUGGUUCUGAAUCUUGGCUACUGUGACUAGUUACGCAAUAAACAUAGAUGUGUGAGUAUCCAUGCUGUGCUUAGAU